Molecule: ribosomal RNA, 351 nt
Filed under: uncultured bacterium
Lineage: Bacteria
Description: bacterial SSU rRNA
Rfam family: Bacterial small subunit ribosomal RNA
Source: RNAcentral
AGAGUUUGAUCAUGGCUCAGGAUGAACGCUAGCUGCAGGCUUAACACAUGCAAGUCGAGGGGAAACGAUAUUGGAAGCUUGCUUCCGAUAGGCGUCGACCGGCGCACGGGUGAGUAACGCGUAUCCAACCUGCCCCCCACUUGGGGAUAACCUUGCGAAAGUAAGACUAAUACCCAAUGACGUCUCUAGAAGACAUCUGAAAGAGAUUAAAGAUUUAUCGGUGAUGGAUGGGGAUGCGUCUGAUUAGCUUGUUGGCGGGGUAACGGCCACCAAGGCUACGAUCAGUAGGGGUUCUGAGAGGAAGGUCCCCCACAUUGGAACUGAGACACGGUCCAAACUCCUACGGGAGCA